CAGUAGCCGCGGUAAUACAGAGGGUGCGAGCGUUAAUCGGAUUUACUGGGCGUAAAGCGUGCGUAGGCGGCUUUUUAAGUCGGAUGUGAAAUCCCUGAGCUUAACUUAGGAAUUGCAUUCGAUACUGGGAAGCUAGAGUAUGGGAGAGGAUGGUAGAAUUCCAGGUGUAGCGGUGAAAUGCGUAGAGAUCUGGAGGAAUACCGAUGGAGAAGGCAGCCAUCUGGCCUAAUACUGACGCUGAGGUACGAAAGCAUGGGGAGCAAACAGGAUUAGAUACCCGUGUAGUCCCUGUCUCUUAUAC
RNAcentral lists this ribosomal RNA (301 nucleotides) under uncultured bacterium. RNAcentral describes it as "partial 16S ribosomal RNA". It matches the Rfam family "Bacterial small subunit ribosomal RNA", at positions 509 to 807 of the family's 1533-position model. The record is from RNAcentral.